AUAAGCCUGGGAAACUGGGUCUAAUACCGGAUAGGAGCGCCCACCGCAUGGUGGGUGUUGGAAAGAUUUUCGGUUUUGGAUGGACUCGCGGCCUAUCAGCUUGUUGGUGAGGUAAUGGCUCACCAAGGCGACGACGGGUAGCCGGCCUGAGAGGGUGACCGGCCACACUGGGACUGAGACACGGCCCAGACUCCUACGGGAGGCAGCAGUGGGGAAUAUUGCACAAUGGGCGCAAGCCUGAUGCAGCGACGCCGCGUGAGGGAUGACGGCCUUCGGGUUGUAAACCUCUUUCAGUAGGGAAGAAGAAAUGACGGUACCUGCAGAAGAAGCACCGGCUAACUACGUGCCAGCAGCCGCGGUAAUACGUAGGGUGCGAGCGUUAUCCGGAAUUAUUGGGCGUAAAGAGCUCGUAGGCGGUUUGUCGCGUCUGUCGUGAAAGUCCGGGGCUUAACCCCGGAUCUGCGGUGGGUACGGGCAGACUAGAGUGCAGUAGGGGAGACUGGAAUUCCUGGUGUAGCGGUGGAAUGCGCAGAUAUCAGGAGGAACACCGAUGGCGAAGGCAGGUCUCUGGGCUGUAACUGACGCUGAGGAGCGAAAGCAUGGGGAGCGAACAGGAUUAGAUACCCUGGUAGUCCAUGCCGUAAACGUUGGGCACUAGGUGUGGGGACCUUCCACGGUUUCGCGCCGCAGCUAACGCAUUAAGUGCCCCGCCUGGGGAGUACGGCCGCAAGGCUAAAACUCAAAGGAAUUGACGGGGGCCCGCACAAGCGGCGGAGCAUGCGGAUUAAUUCGAUGCAACGCGAAGAACCUUACCAAGGCUUGACAUGUCUCGAUCGCCGUAGAGAUACGGUUUCCCUUUGGGCGGGUUCACAGGUGGUGCAUGGUUGUCGUCAGCUCGUGUCGUGAGAUGUUGGGUUAAGUCCCGCAACGAGCGCAACCCUCGUUCCAUGUUGCCAGCACUAAUGUGGGGACUCAUGGGAGACUGCCGGGGUCAACUCGGAGGAAGGUGAGGACGACGUCAAAUCAUCAUGCCCCUUAUGUCUUGGGCUUCACGCAUGCUACAAUGGCCGGUACAAUGGGUUGCGAUACUGUGAGGUGGAGCUAAUCCCAAAAAGCCGGUCUCAGUUCGGAUUGGGGUCUGCAACUCGACCCCAUGAAGUCGGAGUCGCUAGUAAUCGCAGAUCAGCACGCUGCGGUGAAUACGUUCCCGGGCCUUGUACACACCGCCCGUCAAGUCACGAAAGUUGGUAACACCCGAAGCCGGUGGCCUAACC
RNAcentral lists this ribosomal RNA (1274 nucleotides) under Micrococcus sp. RNAcentral describes it as "bacterial SSU rRNA". It matches the Rfam family "Bacterial small subunit ribosomal RNA", at positions 143 to 1440 of the family's 1533-position model. Lineage: Bacteria; Bacillati; Actinomycetota; Actinomycetes; Micrococcales; Micrococcaceae. The record is from RNAcentral.